CCUACGGUGGGCAGCAGUGAGGAAUAUUGGUCAAUGGGCGCGAGCCUGAACCAGCCAAGUAGCGUGAAGGAUGACUGCCCUACGGGUUGUCAACUUCUUUUAUAAAGGAAUAAAGUGAGGCACGUGUGCCUUUUUGUAUGUACUUUAUGAAUAAGGAUCGGCUAACUCCGUGCCAGCAGCCGCGGUAAUAAGGAGGAUCCGAGCGUUAUUCGGAUUUGUUGGGGUUAAAGGGAGCGUAGAUGGGGUGUUAAGUCAGUUGUGAAAGUUUGCGGCUCAAACGGAAAAUUGCCAUUGAUACUGGCAGUCUUGAGUACAGUUGAGGUAGGCGGAAUUCGUGGUUG
Molecule: ribosomal RNA, 341 nt
Filed under: uncultured bacterium
Lineage: Bacteria
Description: partial 16S ribosomal RNA
Rfam family: Bacterial small subunit ribosomal RNA
Source: RNAcentral